RNAcentral lists this transfer RNA (77 nucleotides) under Coprothermobacter sp. RNAcentral describes it as "tRNA-Pro". It matches the Rfam family "tRNA". From Rfam's summary of the family: Transfer RNA (tRNA) molecules are approximately 80 nucleotides in length. Their secondary structure includes four short double-helical elements and three loops (D, anti-codon, and T loops). The record is from RNAcentral. Lineage: Bacteria; Pseudomonadati; Coprothermobacterota; Coprothermobacteria; Coprothermobacterales; Coprothermobacteraceae. RNAcentral also lists the same sequence under 8 other names.
CGGGGUGUGGCGUAGCUUGGUAACGCGCAUGGUUUGGGACCAUGAGAUCGGUGGUUCAAAUCCACUCGCCCCGACCA